Molecule: ribosomal RNA, 252 nt
Filed under: uncultured bacterium
Lineage: Bacteria
Description: partial 16S ribosomal RNA
Rfam family: Bacterial small subunit ribosomal RNA
Source: RNAcentral
UACGUAGGGUGCAAGCGUUGCCCGGAAUUAUUGGCGUAAAGAGCUCGUAGGCGGUCUGUCGCGUCGGAUGUGAAAAUCCAGGGCUCAACCCUGGACCUGCAUUCGAUACGGGCAGACUAGAGUUCGGUAGGGGAGACUGGAAUUCCUGGUGUAGCGGUGAAAUGCGCAGAUAUCAGGAGGAACACCGAUGGCGAAGGCAGGUCUCUGGGCCACUACUGACGCUGAGAAGCGAAAGCAUGGGGAGCGAACAGG